GGGUCUGUGGUCUAGGGGUAUGACACUCCCUUAGCAACAUCACCUCCGCUUCACAGCGGAAGGAGUCGCCUCAAAUGGGAGAGGUCCCGGGUUCAAUUCCCGGCGGAUCCA
This is a non-coding RNA of Phyllosticta capitalensis, 111 nucleotides long. The record is from the annotation of a GenBank genome assembly. Lineage: Eukaryota; Fungi; Ascomycota; Dothideomycetes; Botryosphaeriales; Phyllostictaceae.